GAUUGUAAGGGCACCACAAGAACGCGUGGAGCAUGUGGCUUAAUUUGACUCAACGCGGGAAAUCUUACCGGGUCCGGACACACUGAGGAUUGACAGGCAAUAUUAAUACUUUGCUUCGGCAUUGUAUUAUGUUAAAUAUGCUAGUCCUUUCAUGAUUAUGUGAUAGGUGGUGCAUGGCCGUUCUUAGUUCGUGGAGUGAUCUGUCUGCUUAAUUGCGUUUCACUAAGGGCCUAUAAAUUUACGUAUGUUGUAUCGCACUUUGACCCCUUUCUUUAAUUAGAAAGCGCGUGUCUUAGUUUCGCUUUGCUCAUACAAUUAGGUCCUGAAAGCAACGAACGUGACCGCAACCUCUUGUUGCCUUUAUACCAAACAUGUUUAUUCAUUUUUUAAUGUUCAUUCAUGAAAAAAGGCUUUUUAAACUAGAGGGACCGCUGUUACUUUCUUAAACCAGAGGAAGGUUGCGGCAAUAACAGGUCUGUGAUGCCCUUAGAUGUUCCGGGCUGCACACGUGCUACAAUGAUUAUUGCAGUGAGCAUCUCAUUUUUACACACCGCAUGCGCGAGUCCAUUUAUUCACCUUCGGGUGUUUUAAAUGUGUACCUCUGCGCGCGGUAAAGCCUGCUUCGAAAGUAAGUGGGUAAUCAAUUAGAAGUAAUGAUUUCCUUUUUUAGCACACAUAUAUACGGCGUCUAUGCCCGGGUUACCUUGUUGUAGCUUUUGUGUGUAUAGAUGUUUUUUCCGUAUGUGCGAUUGUCAAUUCAUGGUGGGGACAGACCAUUGUUAAUUGUUGGUCUCGGUCUUAACUAGGAAUGCCUUGUACGGGUCUUUGGUUCAACAAACCACCCGGAAUACGUCCCUGCCCUUUGUACACACCGCCCGUCGCUCUUACCGAUGGACUUCUCUGUGAGUUUGAGGGACUGGGAACGCAGGAAUUUAUUUCUGCACACCUAUGGAAACUUAAACGAACAGUGUGGUCUAAAGGAAAGAGAAGUCGUACA
RNAcentral lists this ribosomal RNA (997 nucleotides) under Cibicidoides wuellerstorfi. RNAcentral describes it as "bacterial SSU rRNA". It matches the Rfam family "Eukaryotic small subunit ribosomal RNA", at positions 1155 to 1796 of the family's 1831-position model. The record is from RNAcentral. Lineage: Eukaryota; Foraminifera; Rotaliida; Anomalinidae.